GCUUGCUUCAGCAGCACACAGUAAAAUUGGAACGAUACAGAGAAGAUUAGAUGGCCCCUGUGUGAGGAUGACAUGCAAAUUCAUGCAGUGUUCCAUAUCUUU
Molecule: small nuclear RNA, 102 nt
Organism: Equus asinus (donkey)
Lineage: Eukaryota; Metazoa; Chordata; Mammalia; Perissodactyla; Equidae
Source: Ensembl